UAGCUCAGUUGGUAAAGAAUCUGCCUGCAGUGCAGGAGUCCCAGGUUCAAUUCCUGG
This 57-nucleotide transfer RNA is filed under the name Ovis aries (sheep). It matches the Rfam family "tRNA", at positions 8 to 63 of the family's 71-position model. Rfam says of the family: Transfer RNA (tRNA) molecules are approximately 80 nucleotides in length. Lineage: Eukaryota; Metazoa; Chordata; Mammalia; Artiodactyla; Bovidae. The record is from Rfam by way of RNAcentral.